AAGUCGUAACAAGGUUUCCGUAGGUGAACCUGCGGAAGGAUCAUUAACACGUAUCCAACGUUAAACAACCCUGUGAACUUUCAGACGCUCUUGUAGCCCAGGCGGUUUUGAUUCGGGACCUCUGUCCAAUUAGUUACAAUCGAGCUAGGAGCAGUGGCAUGGUUUCCCUAAGCAGUGCAGAAGGAUCCACUGAGUAAGGAUAACGCAUCACGGUUGCUAGAGGUCGAUCACCGGCCGGCAGACAUGUCACAGGGCUACAUGCCCCUUCGUUCACCCCUUGCCUAAAACUCGCCCACCGGAAACGCUGGGCACAAAAACCGAACAACUGUUAACAAUGGAUAUCUUGGUUCUC
This 352-nucleotide unclassified non-coding RNA is filed under the name fungal sp. RNAcentral's name for it is "partial internal transcribed spacer region". The stretch from base 1 to 46 matches the Rfam family "Eukaryotic small subunit ribosomal RNA", at positions 1786 to 1831 of the family's 1831-position model. The record is from RNAcentral. Lineage: Eukaryota; Fungi.